ACUAUUUCCAAAAAUUCUCAAAAAUACAGAAAUGAAGAUCUCAAUGAGUAGAGUAAACUUUAUACCUGAGGCUAAGGCCAAUUUGGCUUGGAAACACUUCAAUUUCACCAAAAUCCGUACGAAACCCUAUAUGUGGUGAUCUUCAAUUCGUCUUCAAUUCAACUCCGCCGCUCCAACCAAUGAUUGGGCAUUGUUCUAGGCCUCAAGGGAAGUGUAUGGGUGGUGGUAAUUGAAAGAAAUUGCUUCGGAAUUGGGUGAAAUUUGAACAAGAAGUCGCGGCACCCACGGGUGCGUUCUUUACCAAAUCACCAUCAAAUUUCAUGAUUUUUGGGAUGAAACAUGAAGAGGGAAGGCCUAGGUGUUGAUUGGGAGUGGUUGUUUGGCUCAAUGCAUCGGAAAAAUGGGUGAAAACGUCGAAAUUUGGGUGUGGGUGUCGCGGGUCGAAACUGGUUGCGGGUGAAGACUCGUUUUCUUCCUUCUCUUCUCCGCUUCUCGCCCUCUCUCCUUUCCUCCUUUCUCUGUUCCGAUUGGCCGGUCUCCUCUCUCUUCUCCCCAUUCGCCAGCCUCUCUCUCCUUUCUUUCCCGGAGCUCCUGCUCUCCUCCUCUCUCAUUUCCUGAUUGGGCAUUUUUGCCUAGUCUCUUUUCUCUUCUUCUUCACCAGUCACACACACACACACACACACACAAAACCUCAUUUCUUCUCAUCCCAGCCAUCCAUUUAUUUCUUCAUUAAUCUGGGCCGUCCACUUUCAUAAAAGAAAUUCCGGAUUUUACUAAAUUAUAAUUCCUAAAAUGCCCAAAUUUCAAACGUUAAUAACUUCUUCGAUAUAACUCCAAAUCAUGUACCGUCUACGCUCACGCGUCUGUAGCGACAGGUACUACGAGGAUAUGUCAAGAAAACAAAUCUUAGAUGGCACGACAUAACGAUUAACCUCAAAUAAUGCGCGUGUCUCAAAGGGCAUUUUUGUAAAAUCCUUUAUUAAAACUUUAAAAACUCUUAAAAUUAGGGACGGGCUGUCACAUCUAUGAAUGCGUCUUAAGAUUUUUGCCACAAUAGAACGUUGAAGAAAGAUUAGUGAUGGUUAGUGUUUGAUUAUUAAGAGUGGGUUUAUUGAUAAAUUUUACUUUUAUAAUGAAAUUCAUCUUAUACAUGAUGGUGAUUAUGCAAUAGGAUAAUAAAGACAUUUCAUAAUUAAAGUUUAAGUUGGGUGUAGAGAGAGAAUAAAUGAGUUCAAAUAAAAUUUCUCAGUGCAGAUUAAGUCCUUGAACUAUCAUCUCAGUAAAAAUUAGGUCUUUGAAUUAUUUUUUUUCAAUAAAAUAAGUCCCUAAAUUUAUUAAAAUUGGUAAUUUCAUCCCUACUAUUAUAUUCAAAGGUAUUUUAUCCAAUUUUUCGUCAAUUGAAGUCACUUUACACACUUUAGAGUGUAAUACGAUUAUUUUCCUGCCUAUAAUCCCUUAACGUUUCAUAUAUGUUGUGAAGCUAACGUCUAAUUUACCCUCCAAAGUUAACUUACACUAUUUCUUAUGUAAAACUACCAAUUUUCCCUUCAAAGUUAACUCCCUACACUAUUUCUUUGUGAAAAAACUACAAAUCUACCCUCCAAUGUGUAUCAUGCAAGUAAUGUGACUUAAAUUGAUGAAAAAUUGAAUAUAGUAGCUUUGAAUAUAAUAUUAGGGAUGUAAUCGGUUGAUUUUUAUAAUCCAAGGACUAAUUUUUUUGAAGAAAAAAAAAAUAGUUUAGGGACCUAAUUUUUAUUGAGAUGAUAAUUUAGGAACUAAAUUGGUAAUUCACCCUAUACAUAGUUCCAUCAGACAUACUUCAAUCCUUGGGGCAAAUAUGAGUUUUAACUAAAGGCUUAUUUCUGGUGCAAAUUUUGCCCAAGAUUCCCCUAGAUUAGUGAGAUGACCCACCAUAUAUGUGUAUUUCUUUUAGUUUUAUAUUUAUAAAUUCAUUGAACCCAACGACUAAGAUCUAAUAAGAUCAAAUCCAACGGCAAAAAAAAGAUCUAAUGGUCCAAAUUUAAAUCCAACAGCUAAAGUAAUUUUAAAAAAUUAUAUGUUUCAUAUUCUUUCAUAAUGUUCCACGAGUUUCAUGGCAUCGAUUUAGUGAUUUUUCAAUAUUUAUCGCAAUCUAAACAUUUUUAGGUUAAAAUGUUCAUCAAAUUAAAUUAGGAUAAUCUACAUCAUUUUUUUAAAGUUAUUUUAAGAAAUUUUUUUUUAAUUCAUUCUUUAAUAAUCUCGGGCUAACAAUUUAAUGCAUAAGGGUUAGAGGAGAAAAACUGUUUCUAGGUAAAACGUAAAUUUUCUAGGUUAAAAUUUUUAGAUUUUAACCCCAGGGUUAAAGAUGGAAAUAAGAAAGAGUAAAUAACAUUUUACAACCUCAACUUUGGGUUGCAUAACAAAUUCAUACCUUAUCUUUUAAACAUUAUAAUACAUCAACUUAUGAAUUUGUUGUAAUGUUAGACCUCCUAAAUUUUCUUAAUUUGGCCGUUAAAUGAUUAUUAGACAAAUAUAUGGUCAACUUUUUUACUGAUAUGGAUGUUGAGUUUAAGCCAUUUGGAUAAAAAAAAAAUUUAAUAUUUAUAAAAAUUUGAAAAAUAUUAUAAAAUA
This 2610-nucleotide long non-coding RNA is filed under the name Malus domestica (apple). Its description in RNAcentral is "long non-coding RNA (MDOM_LNC005550)". Lineage: Eukaryota; Viridiplantae; Streptophyta; Magnoliopsida; Rosales; Rosaceae. The record is from RNAcentral.